GGUGAGUAAUGUCUGGGAAACUGCCUGAUGGAGGGGGAUAACUACUGGAAACGGUAGCUAAUACCGCAUAACGUCUUCGGACCAAAGUGGGGGACCUUCGGGCCUCAUGCCAUCAGAUGUGCCCAGAUGGGAUUAGCUAGUAGGUGGGGUAAUGGCUCACCUAGGCGACGAUCCCUAGCUGGUCUGAGAGGAUGACCAGCCACACUGGAACUGAGACACGGUCCAGACUCCUACGGGAGGCAGCAGUGUGGAAUAUUGCACAAUGGGCGCAAGCCUGAUGCAGCCAUGCCGCGUGUGUGAAGAAGGCCUUCGGGUUGUAAAGCACUUUCAGCGAGGAGGAAGGGUUCAGUGUUAAUAGCACUGUGCAUUGACGUUACUCGCAGAAGAAGCAC
This 392-nucleotide ribosomal RNA is filed under the name Serratia grimesii. RNAcentral describes it as "bacterial SSU rRNA". It matches the Rfam family "Bacterial small subunit ribosomal RNA", at positions 105 to 493 of the family's 1533-position model. Lineage: Bacteria; Pseudomonadati; Pseudomonadota; Gammaproteobacteria; Enterobacterales; Yersiniaceae. The record is from RNAcentral.